Molecule: transfer RNA, 77 nt
Filed under: Oligosphaera ethanolica
Lineage: Bacteria; Pseudomonadati; Lentisphaerota; Oligosphaeria; Oligosphaerales; Oligosphaeraceae
Also listed under: 2 other names
Description: tRNA-Ala
Rfam family: tRNA
About the family: Transfer RNA (tRNA) molecules are approximately 80 nucleotides in length. Their secondary structure includes four short double-helical elements and three loops (D, anti-codon, and T loops).
Source: RNAcentral
GGGGCUAUAGCUCAGUUGGCUAGAGCGAUACGUUCGCAACGUAUAGGCCAGGGGUUCGAAUCCCCUUAGCUCCACCA